GCUGUCAGUGCAGAGCAAGAGCUAUGUUCUGAAACACAGCAGACCUGCAGUGGACCUGGGAGCCUCUCUUAGCCAGCCAUUACCCUCUGGAUCAUGAUUUUUUACUCACUUGCUCCAUGAAGCAGAUGACUAAGGGUGAGCUUCCUAAAGGCUUUCAAAGAAUGCUGUUAGUGCCAGCCCCACUUUCUGCAGCCCUGCCUGGGAGUCCUGAUGCCUGGCCAUGAAGAUCUAGGAGCUCUGCUGAUUCAUCUGCUGCCCCUUGAGGAGCCUGACCUAGGUCUUGGAAGAUGCUCUCCUGCACUCAAGAUGGAAUAUGCCACCUGAGGAAACAACAUGCCUAAGUCUAUGGAACCUGAUGAGGCCUGAGAAAAUUGGCUAGUGUCGGUCCCAAGCCACUCUCCAUGACCUUUGAAAAGUCAUCACAG
This 425-nucleotide long non-coding RNA is filed under the name Cyanistes caeruleus (blue tit). RNAcentral describes it as "lncRNA (ENSCCEG00000018981.1)". Lineage: Eukaryota; Metazoa; Chordata; Aves; Passeriformes; Paridae. The record is from RNAcentral.